Molecule: ribosomal RNA, 170 nt
Filed under: Selar crumenophthalmus (bigeye scad)
Lineage: Eukaryota; Metazoa; Chordata; Actinopteri; Carangiformes; Carangidae
Description: partial 12S rRNA
Source: RNAcentral
CACCGCGGUUAUACGAGAGGCUCAAGUUGAUAGACAGCGGCGUAAAGAGUGGUUAAGGAAAAUAUUAAAUUAAAGCGGAAAGCCCUCAAUGCUGUUAUACGCCUUCGAAGAGACUGAACCACAACUACGAAAGUGGCUUUAUUUAACCUGAACCCACGAAAGCUAAGAAA